UAGUAUUGGAUGGAUAGGGGUUCUGAGAGGAAGGUCCCCCACAUGAGAACUGAGACACGAUCCAAACUCCUACGGGAGGCAGCAGUGAGGAAUAUGGGUCAAUGGGCGAGAGUCUGAACCAGCCAAGUAGCGUGAAGGAUGACUGCCCUAUGGGUCGUAAACUUCUUUUAUAAAGGAAUAAAGUCGGGUAUGGAUACCCGUUUGCAUGUACUUUAUGAAUAAGGAUCGGCUAACUCCGUGCCAGCAGCCGCGGUAAUACGGAGGAUCCGAGCGUUAUCCGGAUUUAUUGGGUUUAAAGGGAGCGUAGAUGGAUGCUUAAGUCAGUUGUGAAAGUUUGCGGCUCAACCGUAAAAUUGCAGUUGAUACUGGAUAUCUUGAGUGCAGUUGAGGCAGGCGGAAUUCGUGGUGUAGCGGUGAAAUGCUUAGAUAUCACGAAGAACUCCGAUUGCGAAGGCAGCCUGCUAAGCUGCAACUGACAUUGAGGCUCGAAAGUGUGGGUAUCAAACAGGAUUAGAUACCCUGGUAGUCCACACGGUAAACGAUGAAUACUCGCUGUUUGCGAUAUACGGCAAGCGGCCAAGCGAAAGCGUUAAGUAUUCCACCUGGGGAGUACGCCGGCAACGGUGAAACUCAAGGGAAUUGACGGGGGCCCGCACAAGCGGAGGAACAUGUGGUUUAAUUCGAUGAUACGCGAGGAACCUUACCCGGGCUUAAAUUGCAGAUGAAUUACGGUGAAAGCCGUAAGCCGCAAGGCAUCUGUGAAGGUGCUGCAUGGUUGUCGUCAGCUCGUGCCGUGAGGUGUCGGCUUAAGUGCCAUAACGAGCGCAACCCUUGUUGUCAGUUACUAACAGGAUUUGCUGAGGACUCUGACAAGACUGCCAUCGUAAGAUGUGAGGAAGGUGGGGAUGACGUCCAAUCAGCACGGCCCUUACGUCCGGG
Molecule: ribosomal RNA, 939 nt
Filed under: uncultured Bacteroidota bacterium
Lineage: Bacteria; Pseudomonadati; Bacteroidota
Description: bacterial SSU rRNA
Rfam family: Bacterial small subunit ribosomal RNA
Source: RNAcentral